Anolis carolinensis (green anole) is the source of this 1107-nucleotide long non-coding RNA. RefSeq lists it as uncharacterized. NCBI's taxonomy places the organism in Eukaryota, Metazoa, Chordata, Lepidosauria, Squamata, Anolidae. The transcript is spliced from 2 exons. The record is from RefSeq and is a predicted model, not a curated record.
GGUAACCCUGCCCAGCAUUACUCAGUUCAAUAGGAAGGAGAAAUUAAAGGCAUCAUGGGUUAAAUUAAAAGUACUGCCACUGUGAUAUCUUUUGUGUUUUUCUUGUGUAGAGCAUUGUUGUAUUCUGACAUGGAGGCCCUAGGAACAUAUAUCUAGGUCCUACAGAAAAGGUGACCACAGGGGCCUAGAACAGUGGUUCUCAACCUGUGGGUCCCGAGGUGUUUUGGCUUACAACUUCCAGAAAUCCCAGCCAGUUUACCAGCUGUUAGGAUUUCUGGGGGUUGCAAGCCACACAUCUGGGGACCAACAGGUUGAGAACCACUGGCCUAGAGAUUCCUUGAAAGAACAGAUUAAUCAAAUCCACAAAUAAUCAAAUCUAAUCCAAUCUGAAAAAGUUAAAUGCAGCAGUGUGGAGGGCCAAUUGCAUCUCAUCUCCUUUCUUCCCUUAAUUCUUUCUAUAGUUUUUCACUCCACAUUGCGUCCAGAAGGAAAAGCACUCUUGGGUCACCCUGGGUUAUUUUGAGCCAAAGUUGUUUUCCUUCUUCACUCCUUCCUGCCUCUCUCACUUCACGACAGAAGCAGGAGAGAAGAGGCCACCAUCAUCAAAGAGAAAGCAUCUGUGGGAGGGAGAAGAAGGAGCUUGUUGUGGCUUCUAUUGCGAUGUGGUUGCUUGGAAAGCUUUGAAAUUUUAACAUCUGAAGUGAAAUAUCUUGGAAGGGGAAAGAAAGAAAACAGCAGCUAUGUCCCUGAGGCCAAUGAGACUAAAGAUAUGGAAGAGCCUGGCAGCUACCUCACCUGCUCUACCCAACUGAACUCUGAACGUGGGGCAGAUCUAGCUGGAAAACAAGACUUUAUGUUCUCUUCAAAGACUGGGGUAUUCAAGAAGUUUGCGGAAUUUUCUGUCUUAUUGCGAAGUAUUUAGGACAUAGUCCAAGGUGAAUCUGAAUUUCCCCUGGAACUGUGAAUGAUGGCACCUUAAUGUAUUUCCUGUAGAGUGCUAUCCCAAAGCAAAGGCACCAUGCAUUAUGUUAAAGAAGUCAUUAAUGUAAUUCUAAAGCAGGCUGCUGUCUGUGAGACUGUCAGCUCUAAAGGAGUGUUUGAAAGGUU